GAAUAAGGCACUAUUUAUAAUGUUGUGAUAUAAAUAGGGUAGUGUUAAUCUCCUUUUCAUCCCUUAGAUUUAAGUUCCUUCUUAAUGUGGGUCGUUGGAUUUGGUGGAUGGAGGGACAAGAUGAAAUCCCAUUUUUAAUCUCGUGUUGCAUUAUAUGGUGGAUUUUGUGCAUUAUAUGGUGGAUUGUGUGCAUUAUAAGGGUAAACUAGUAAAACAACCAAAUUGAAAACCGCCCAAAACGGAAGGAGCGAAUUUUCAGCGAGAUUUUGAUACAACUUUCCAUCUACUCACUCUCUCUCUCACUCCAAACGUCUAUCCAUCUCUCUACGUCUCUGCAAUUCGUCUUCCUAUUUUCCACCACUCUUCAAACCCUAGCCGCCACUGUUUUUCGUCGGGUAUCUCCAGAAAGUGAUCGUUUUCGUCGGUAUCACUCUCCAACUCUCACUCCGGUAGCGCGCGAACAAAUUGUUGAAGGCAUCGACAAGGAAUCCCACCGGAUCAGAAGCAAUUGAUUUUCGCCGAAAAGCAGCUUGAAGAUGGCCUAACAAUUGCUGAUUACAACAUACAGAAAGAGCCGACUCUGCAUUUGGUAUUGAGGCUUAGGGGAGGUGUCAUUGAGCCUUCGCUUAUGGCAUUGGCUAGGAUAUACAUCAAGUAGUCUUCGUUGGCGCAUUCGUCGACAAAUUUUG
This is a long non-coding RNA of Salvia splendens (bonfire salvia), 689 nucleotides long. RefSeq lists it as uncharacterized. The transcript has 3 exons. The record is from RefSeq and is a predicted model, not a curated record. NCBI's taxonomy places the organism in Eukaryota, Viridiplantae, Streptophyta, Magnoliopsida, Lamiales, Lamiaceae.